GAUGAACGCUGGCGGCGUGCUUAACACAUGCUAGUCGAACGAGAAGUGAAGACGGAAACCUUCGGGCGGAAGGCUUUAUUUCGAGUGGCGGACGGGUGAGUAACGCGUGGGUAACCUGCCUCAUACAGGGGGAUAACAGUUGGAAACGACUGUUAAUACCGCAUAAGACCACAGCACCGCAUGGUGCGGGGGUAAAAACUCCGGUGGUAUGAGAUGGACCCGCGUUCGAUUAGCCAGUUGGCGGGGUAACGGCCCACCAAAGCGACGAUCGAUAGCCGAUCUGAGAGGAUGACCGGCCACAUUGGGACUGAGACACGGCCCAAACUCCUACGGGAGGCAGCAGUGGGGAAUAUUGCACAAUGGGGGAAACCCUGAUGCAGCGACGCCGCGUGAGUGAAGAAGUAUUUCGGUAUGUAAAGCUCUAUCAGCAGGGAAGAAAAUGACGGUACCUGAGUAAGAAGCCCCGGCUAACUACGUG
RNAcentral lists this ribosomal RNA (478 nucleotides) under uncultured bacterium. RNAcentral's name for it is "partial 16S ribosomal RNA". It matches the Rfam family "Bacterial small subunit ribosomal RNA", at positions 28 to 507 of the family's 1533-position model. The record is from RNAcentral.